This 120-nucleotide ribosomal RNA is filed under the name Penicillium coprophilum. The record is from RNAcentral. Lineage: Eukaryota; Fungi; Ascomycota; Eurotiomycetes; Eurotiales; Aspergillaceae.
ACAUACGACCAUAGGGUGUGGAAAACAGGGCUUCCCGUCCGCUCAGCCGUACUAAAGCCACACGCCGGUGAGUUAGUAGUUGGGUGGGUGACCACCAGCGAAUCCUCACUGUUGUAUGUU